RNAcentral lists this ribosomal RNA (392 nucleotides) under Aplanochytrium sp. RNAcentral's name for it is "partial small subunit ribosomal RNA". It matches the Rfam family "Eukaryotic small subunit ribosomal RNA", at positions 582 to 975 of the family's 1831-position model. Lineage: Eukaryota; Bigyra; Thraustochytrida; Thraustochytriidae. The record is from RNAcentral.
AUUCCAGCUCCAAUAGCGUAUAUUAAAGUUGUUGCAGUUAAAAAGCUCGUAGUUGGAUUUCUGGUAGGAGCGACCGUGCCGAACUUGAUUGUUCGAGUAUUGUGUUGUCUUCAGCCAUCCUCGUGGAGAACUUUUCUAACAUUAACUUGUUGGGAUUGGGACCCGCGUCGUUUACUGUGAAAAAAUUAGAGUGUUUAAAGCAGGCAUUAGCUUGAAUACAUUAGCAUGGAAUAAUAAGAUAGGACUUUGGUACUAUUUUGUUGGUUUGCAUACCAAAUUAAUGAUCAACAGGAACAGUUUGAGGAUAUUCGUAUGAACAUGUCAGAGGUGAAAUUCUUGGAUUUUGAUCAGACGAACUACUGCGAAAGCAUUUAUCAAGGAUGUUUUCAUUA